GCUGGCUUAGCUCAGUUGGUAGAGCACCGGUUUUGUAAACCGGCGGUCGUAGGUUCAAGUCCUAUAGCCAGCUCCA
This 76-nucleotide transfer RNA is filed under the name Gammaproteobacteria bacterium. RNAcentral describes it as "tRNA-Thr". It matches the Rfam family "tRNA". Rfam says of the family: Transfer RNA (tRNA) molecules are approximately 80 nucleotides in length. Their secondary structure includes four short double-helical elements and three loops (D, anti-codon, and T loops). Further hydrogen bonds mediate the characteristic L-shaped molecular structure. tRNAs have two regions of fundamental functional importance: the anti-codon, which is responsible for specific mRNA codon recognition, and the 3' end, to which the tRNAs corresponding amino acid is attached (by aminoacyl-tRNA synthetases). tRNAs cope with the degeneracy of the genetic code in two manners: having more than one tRNA (with a specific anti-codon) for a particular amino acid; and 'wobble' base-pairing, i.e. permitting non-standard base-pairing at the 3rd anti-codon position. Lineage: Bacteria; Pseudomonadati; Pseudomonadota; Gammaproteobacteria. The record is from RNAcentral. RNAcentral also lists the same sequence under 1 other name.